Molecule: ribosomal RNA, 750 nt
Filed under: uncultured bacterium
Lineage: Bacteria
Description: bacterial SSU rRNA
Rfam family: Bacterial small subunit ribosomal RNA
Source: RNAcentral
GAGCCUAACAUGGCAGUCGAACGAGAGACCUUCGGGUCUCUAGUGGCGAACGGGUGAGUAACACGUAGGGAACCCGCCCGCGCACCGGGAAUACGCUCUGGAAACGGAGAACAAAUCCCGAUGUACAGGAAGGAGGCAUCUUCUUUCUGUGAAACAUCCUUUAGGGGAUGGGGCGCGGAUGGACCUGCGGUGCAUUAGUUGGUUGGCGGGGUAAAGGCCCACCAAGACGAUGAUGCAUAGCCGGCCUGAGAGGGCGGACGGCCACAUUGGGACUGAGACACGGCCCAGACUCCUGCGGGAGGCAGCAGUAGGGAAUUUUCGUCAAUGGGCGCAAGCCUGAACGAGCGAUGCCGCGUGAGUGAAGAAGGCCUUCGGGUCGUAAAGCUCUGUUGCGGGGGAAAAAAGGCAGCAUCAGGAAAUGGGUGCUGACUGAUGGUGCCCCGCCAGAAAGUCACGGCUAACUACGUGCCAGCAGCCGCGGUAAUACGUAGGUGGCGAGCGUUAUCCGGAAUGAUUGGGCGUAAAGGGUGCGCAGGCGGUCCUGCAAGUCUGGAGUGAAACGCAUGAGCUCAACUCAUGCAUGGCUUUGGAAACUGGAGGACUGGAGAGCAGGAGAGGGCGGUGGAACUCCAUGUGUAGCGGUAAAAUGCGUAGAUAUAUGGAAGAACACCAGUGGCGAAGGCGGCCGCCUGGCCUGUUGCUGACGCUGAGGCACGAAAGCGUGGGGAGCAAAUAGGAUUAGAUACCCUA